GACGAACGCUGGCGGCGUGCUUAACACAUGCAAGUCGAACGGUGAAGCGCCUUCCUUUUUGGUGGGUGUGGAUGAGUGGCGAACGGGUGAGUAACACGUGAGUAACCUGCCCCCUUCUUCUGGAUAACCGCAUGAAAGUGUGGCUAAUACGGGAUAUUCUGGGUCUGUCGCAUGAUGGGUCUGGGAAAGAUAUUGUUUCGGUGGGGGAUGGGCUCGCGGCCUAUCAGCUUGUUGGUGGGGUGAUGGCCUACCAAGGCGGUGACGGGUAGCCGGCCUGAGAGGGUGGGCGGUCCCACUAGGAAUGAAGCGCGGCCCAGACUCCUACGGGAGGCAGCAGUGAGGAAUAUUGCACAAUGGGCGGAAGCCUGAUGCAGCGACGCCGCGGGAGGGAUGGAGGCCUUCGGGUUGUGAACCUCUUUCGCCAGUGAAGCAGGCCUGCCUCGUUUGUGGGUGGGUUGACGGUAGCUGGAUAAGAAGCGCCGGCUAACUACGUG
This 494-nucleotide ribosomal RNA is filed under the name uncultured bacterium. Its description in RNAcentral is "partial 16S ribosomal RNA". It matches the Rfam family "Bacterial small subunit ribosomal RNA", at positions 28 to 507 of the family's 1533-position model. The record is from RNAcentral.